Molecule: unclassified non-coding RNA, 385 nt
Filed under: Cercozoa sp.
Lineage: Eukaryota; Cercozoa
Description: partial contains small subunit ribosomal RNA, internal transcribed spacer 1, and 5.8S ribosomal RNA
Rfam family: Eukaryotic small subunit ribosomal RNA (bases 1-47)
Source: RNAcentral
AAAGUCGUAACAAGGUAUCCGUAGGUGAACCUGCGGAUGGAUCAUUAUCAAAUCAAUAUAACGUUAUCCCAAAAUAACGUUUAUAUAAACCAAUCUGUGAACUGUUCUCUGCCUUUGAGAAGUGAGAGUAAUGGAUCGAAAGAUACACGAGUUUUUAUAGUGAACUCUUUUUUUCGAUUCGUUCUAUGGAUUUAAUCGUUCAUAGAAGCUCUUAUUUUUCAAAGUGUAUAUCACUAUUAAACAUUAACCAAUUUAACCAAAUAUACUAAUAUUUUAUUCUAUGUGUGAACUGAAUUGUUUUCUUACUCUUACCUAAAAACUGAGAGAAGAAAUCUAUUCUACGAAACAUAUUGAACAACUCUUAGCAACGGAUAUCUUGGUUCUC